Molecule: long non-coding RNA, 645 nt
Filed under: Nicotiana benthamiana
Lineage: Eukaryota; Viridiplantae; Streptophyta; Magnoliopsida; Solanales; Solanaceae
Description: long non-coding RNA (NBEN_LNC027473)
Source: RNAcentral
AAAGAUCUAGGUAGUUCAGUUCCUAGGAUAUUUGCCCAAAAUACAUUAUUGGCAAACAUCGGGGAACUACUGGUAAUAAAGAUUUACACAAAAAGUCUUCUCCAGCUGCUUCCUUUGCAGGUGUAUCAACCACCCUAAUUUGCUCCCUGUAGACAUGCUUCACCACUACUCUUCACAUCCUCUGAAUCAAUAACCUGCAUUCACAAACUAAAGGUUCAAUUGUUAGGUUACCAUUUAUAAGCAUGUUGAUGGUUUCAGCCGAAUCAGUGUUAAUCGUGGCAGUAGGUUAUUCUACUAUGCCAAUUGGUGACAUUUGACAAUGGCACUGAUCUCUGCCCCUGUAUUUUUGGUGAAGGGGAUAUUUUUCAUGUAGCCCAAAAUCCAUUUCCUAUUGUGAUUUCUGAAAACCCCUCUUAUACCUCCUAGUCCGGUAUUCAUUUUUGAUGCACCAUCUGUGUUAAGCUUGAAAGAGUCUAUUGGUGGAGGCAACCAUUUUAGCAUCUUUUGGUGUUUGACUUUAGUCUGCCUGCUAUCUCUCAAAACACAGAAUUCAGUUGUCUUCACGGUGGCCUUGGUAGCACUAAUUAUGUCUUUCUUAUUGUUUAAGAUAUUACUAUUUCUGUUUAGCCAUAUGUGCCAAAGGCA